AUACGGAGGGUCCAAGCGUUAUCCGGAAUCAUUGGGUUUAAAGGGUCCGCAGGCGGUCAAUUAAGUCAGAGGUGAAAGCCCAUCGCUCAACGAUGGAACUGCCUUUGAUACUGGUUGACUUGAGUUAUACGGAAGUAGAUGGAAUAAGUAGUGUAGCGGUGAAAUGCAUAGAUAUUACUUAGAAUACCGAUUGCGAAGGCAGUCUACUACGUAUAUACUGACGCUGAGGGACGAAAGCGUGGGGAGCGAACAGGAUUAGAAACCCUAGUAGUCC
This 274-nucleotide ribosomal RNA is filed under the name uncultured bacterium. Its description in RNAcentral is "partial 16S ribosomal RNA". It matches the Rfam family "Bacterial small subunit ribosomal RNA", at positions 523 to 796 of the family's 1533-position model. The record is from RNAcentral.